AAGUACUCUCACUGUUCUUUCUGAUUUUGUAAUAAUCCAGACAAGCUAAACAUUCACAGUAUUAAGACCAUGCAUGUGCCUCUAGACCUAGCUCUUUUGCUAGGUCUGGUUUUAUAAAUGCUGGUGAUAAAC
RNAcentral lists this small nucleolar RNA (132 nucleotides) under Jaculus jaculus (lesser Egyptian jerboa). RNAcentral's name for it is "Small nucleolar RNA SNORA72 (ENSJJAG00000008912.1)". It matches the Rfam family "Small nucleolar RNA SNORA72". From Rfam's summary of the family: U72 is a member of the H/ACA class of snoRNAs. The snoRNA gene is located in intron 4 of the ribosomal L30 protein gene in human, mouse and chicken. The record is from RNAcentral. Lineage: Eukaryota; Metazoa; Chordata; Mammalia; Rodentia; Dipodidae.